UGGGGAAUUUUGGACAAUGGGGGAAACCCUGAUCCAGCCAUCCCGCGUGUGCGAUGAAGGCCUUCGGGUUGUAAAGCACUUUUGGCAGGAAAGAAACGUCAUGGGUUAAUACCCCGUGAAACUGACGGUACCUGCAGAAUAAGCACCGGCUAACUACGUGCCAGCAGCCGCGGUAUUACGUAGGGUGCAAGCGUUAAUCGGAAUUACUGGGCGUAAAGCGUGCGCAGGCGGUUCGGAAAGAAAGAUGUGAAAUCCCAGAGCUCAACUUUGGAACUGCAUUUUUAACUACCGUGCUAGAGUGUGUCAGAGGGAGGUGGAAUUCCGCGUGUAGCAGUGAAAUGCGUAGAUAUGCGGAGGAACACCGAUGGCGAAGGCAGCCUCCUGGGAUAACACUGACGCUCAUGCACGAAAGCGUGGGGAGCAAACAGG
Molecule: ribosomal RNA, 429 nt
Filed under: Acidobacteriota bacterium
Lineage: Bacteria; Pseudomonadati; Acidobacteriota
Description: Acidobacteria bacterium partial 16S ribosomal RNA
Rfam family: Bacterial small subunit ribosomal RNA
Source: RNAcentral